Molecule: ribosomal RNA, 229 nt
Filed under: uncultured bacterium
Lineage: Bacteria
Description: partial 16S ribosomal RNA
Rfam family: Bacterial small subunit ribosomal RNA
Source: RNAcentral
UGCGCAGGCGGAGCGAUCAGUCAGUGGUGAAAUCCUACGGCUCAACCGUAGAACUGCCAUUGAUACUGUCGUUCUUGAGUAUAGUUGAAGUGGGCGGAAUGUGUCAUGUAGCGGUGAAAUGCAUAGAUAUGACACAGAACACCAAUCGCGAAGGCAGCCCACUAAACUACUACUGACGCUCAGGCACGAAAGCGUGGGGAGCGAACAGGAUUAGAUACCCUGGUAGUCC